Equus caballus (horse) is the source of this 2204-nucleotide non-coding RNA. The record is from RefSeq and is a predicted model, not a curated record. Lineage: Eukaryota; Metazoa; Chordata; Mammalia; Perissodactyla; Equidae.
AUUGUCCUGACCCUGCCACAGCCGGCCGCUAGGAACACUUGGGGGUUAGGAGCUUCCUUUGUUCCUACGCAGGAGACAGAGCCUGUUGACUAGCCCUGAACCAGCCCCCGAGGCCCGAGGAACGUCUGGAGCUGGUCAUCUGAGGCCAUCCCUUGUGUGAUCACUCGCUACAGCAAGGGCAGUCGGGUUACCCUGCUUGGUUGAGACAUGAAAGCAAUCAGGGCCCACCCCUGGAGCCGGAGGUGCACGGAGCCCCUCCAGCCAACCUAGCUGCCACUUCAGGUGGAAAGGAAGAAUGUGGAUGGAGGGGAACCAAACGCACGUCUGUCUCGUUACAACGUGUUGGUCUUUGGUGAGUUUGCCCUCGGAGGAUUGCUUCCCGCUUGGCCUGCUCUGCUCUGUAUUGUCAGCGUGUGCGUGUGCGCAUGCGCGCGCAUGCCCGCAGUGGAGAGGGGCUGGUCCCCGGAGGAUGUGUUUCCCCGUCUCCCAGGGCCGCUGACUUCUCCUGGCCUCAGCCAAUGGGAAGCGUUAUUGAAGAAGCGGAGAGAAGAGGGCAGGGAGAAGCCAGAGUAUUUCUCCCCAUCUCUGUCGGCCUCGGGCAGCUUCUCUGGAAACAGCCGCCUCGCCUGCCAGGCUCCAGCUCCCCCAGACGGGCCCUUCGUCAUCUCAGCUUCCACCUGGUGGCCCCAUCCCUGGGCCCCGAAACCACCACCUUGUGUCCCUCCAGCCUACGGGUGGGGGCUUCCUGCCGUUCCCAGGUUCCAGGGCGCACGCGUCACCACCCUGUUGGGUCUCAGCAGCUCCACCCCUGUGUAAACCACUUCCCUCUGUUCCACUCCACCGUCUCGCUGGACUAAACAAGCCUUGUAAGCCGUCUCCCUACCCCCUGCCCUGGCCUCUUGCUCCAAUCCAUUCUUCACACAGCAGUGUGAAAUGUUCCUGUGCCAAGAAAGUGCCUGGCUCACUGCAGAUCCUUGACGCUGCUGGGGAGUGAAUAAGUGAGGUCUGAGAGGAGGGCAGCGUCAAGGGAUGAAGACGUUGGGUAAGGGUUUGAUUUUGACUUUGAGAGUCAUGGGAGGUGAGUAAGAAAGUAUCUUAACCUGAUUUGGGUACUGUCAGUGUCCUCCAGCCCAAGACCACUGGGAAUACACCUGUGGUUGAACAAGAGGGCUUGACUGCCUCCUUGCAAUGAGGGAGAAGACAUUAUGGGGAACUGUGGGAGCAUCUCAGCUAAAGGGUCUUAGAAGUGCCAGCAUUGGGGCUUAUGUUAGGGGAUUGUGGACAAGAUGCAAGGAGUAGGGUUUGCUCUGAAUUCAAUGUCUUCAGGAAGCAGGGGGAAUGCUGUGACUGAAUUUCUUAAUAAAUCUCAUCUUGAAGGUGGGAGAAAGAGGGAGGCUAAAACUGUGAUUGGUAAAGAAGCAGGAGUAACAUUUUUCAGCUGGGAUGGAAGGCUCGUUGGUCAUUUUUAUGGUUUGGACAUUGUUUAUGUUGUUGUCUCUGUUCACACAUAAUCACAGAGUGGUCUUCUUUUUGUCGUCAUCUAUCAGGGUCACAGAGUGGCCUUGGCUGAUGUUGGAGUUCGAGGCUGUGUUUAUGUUGAACAGAAGAGCACCAAGGCCCAGCUGGGAGUGCCAAGCCAGCUCUCACCUGCCAGGAGCUGCUUUUCCUUGGUGUUAAUAAGACACAGAGUAGAAGCGUGAGUCCAGGCAGAGGGGCAGUGGUCCACGUGAGAGGUGAAGGUGUCUUGCACUAGGUGAGCGUGGAGCUGAGGGGAAAUAACUGGAUUCAGGAUACAUGUGAGGCCACGGCCCGCGCUCAAACCACAUGGAGCUUUCCAGCUCCUGGGAAGGAUGCCGACCACUUGCUCCUCCAGGCCCUUCCUGGAUGGCUCUUUCUCGCCCCUCUUCUCCGGCUCCACCGCCACCCAAGCCCUGUUCCCUGAUGCAGUCCUAUUUAUCUCACUCAAAUGCUACACUCACCAGGAAGUCUUCCCCAAACCUCCCACCCCGAAUCUGGGGUAGCAGUCCCUCCUUUGUGCUUCCGUAAGACCUCGUUGCAUUAUGAUUGUUUACAUAUCUGUACCCCUCCUAGACUGUAAGCUGCAUCCGGGAAGGAGUGAUGUCUUGUUCACUGUGUGUACCCAGGUCUCAUCCCUAAUGGAUGCUUAACGAAUACAUGUGAAAUAAAUCAAUGCUUUACUGAUA